CCGAGUUUACAACUCCCAAACCCCUGUGAACAUACCUAUACGUUGCCUCGGCGGAUCAGCCCGGCGCCUCGGCCGGAUAAGGGACGCCCGCCGAGGACCCCUAAACUCUGUAUUUUUAGUGAUCUUCUGAGUAAACAAGCAAAUAAAUCA
This 150-nucleotide unclassified non-coding RNA is filed under the name soil metagenome. Its description in RNAcentral is "partial internal transcribed spacer 1". The record is from RNAcentral.